UAUGUAGGGUGCAAGCGUUGUCCGGAAUUAUUGGGCGUAAAGAGCUCGUAGGCGGUCUGUUACGUCGGCUGUGAAAACCUGGGGCUCAACCCCGGGCCUGCAGCCGAUACGGGCAGACUAGAAUUCGGUAGGGGAGACUGGAAUUCCUGGUGUAGCGGUGAAAUGCGCAGAUAUCAGGAGGAACACCGGUGGCGAAGGCGGGUCUCUGGGCCGAUAUUGACGCUGAGGAGCGAAAGCGUGGGGAGCGAACAGG
RNAcentral lists this ribosomal RNA (253 nucleotides) under uncultured bacterium. RNAcentral describes it as "partial 16S ribosomal RNA". It matches the Rfam family "Bacterial small subunit ribosomal RNA", at positions 524 to 776 of the family's 1533-position model. The record is from RNAcentral.